Long non-coding RNA from Heterocephalus glaber (naked mole-rat), 3116 nucleotides. The record is from Ensembl. Lineage: Eukaryota; Metazoa; Chordata; Mammalia; Rodentia; Bathyergidae.
UUUUUUUUUUUUUGGUACCGGGGAUCGAACCCGGGUCCUUGCACUUGCACAGCAGGCAGCGAAACCACUGAGCUAAAUCCCCGGCCCAGCUGUCUUAUCUUUGAAGCAGCAAGGAAUGGAAGAGCUGAGUAGGAAAGUCAUCUUUUCAUCGUUUUCUUCUGUUAUUAAAGGUAACCAGAGCACUCAGUACAGAAAACCUGGAAAACGCAUAAGGAGACACAAAAUGACAAAAAAUAACAAGCCCACAUCCAGAACCACCCUUUUGACAUAUGGUGUAUGUUUUUCCAGGCUUUCAUUCCCUGUUUGUCUCUUUCACACAUUAGGAAAUUUUGCUUUCCUGUGGGAAGUCUGGCCUCCGCCCUCAGCUUUGAGGAGAGGACCCAGCACAGUGACCAAGAACAUGAAUUCUAUGUCUCCAUCACCUAGUUUCACAUGCCAGCUCUCACCUGCCUGCUGUGUGACCUUGGGCAAGACAGGUAAGCUCCCUGGGCUUCAGUGUUGUCUCUUGUAAAGUGUGCCUAAUGCGGAAGCAUUGUGAGCGUGACCUAAGUUAAUGCUUGCAAUGUUCCCAGAGAAGUACUUGGUUCCAAGUGUAUUGGUCGGGAGGAGAGGUUUAAUGGGCUCAGGGGAUGCAGUCCAUGGUCGGUUGCCCCAAGGCAGGAACAUCAUGGCGGAAGGGCAUGGUGGAGCAAAGCUACUCAGUUCCUGGCAGCUGGCAAGCAGAUCAGGGAGCAGAGCCUGAAAGGGAGGGUAGAGAGACCAGCUGAAGUCCCCAAGGCUGUGCCUCCAGGACCCACCCUGACACUCCCAGUAUGCUUUACUAAUCCCUUGGUGGUCCCCAAGUGAAUCCAGUUGACAGUUAAGCUUAACUAUCAAAGGGUUUGGCACAUCCUUGUCACAAGAGCAGCCCAUUUGGGGGACAGCACCUUUGGCUAUGCUGGUCCCUUACUGUUGGCCCUGCAGUUGGUUCCUAGUUUUUCCCCAUCCUAAAUAAUGUGGCUACAAUGUUUCUCAGUGUCUUUGAGUAUGUCUUUGGUUAUUUUAUGAAAAUAAAUUCCCAGAAAUGGUAUUUCUGGUUUAUAAAUAAUGCAUGUGGCAGAUCAUCCAAGUGUGUACUAAAGAAUGUGCCGGCAAAAUUGGCAGGGACAAGAAAGAGACAGGAGUCCCUGAGACCUUGGGAGGAGAACAGGGGAACAUGGGCACAGCCUAGGACUAGGAAAUGUGCUUUAGUUAUGGUUGUGGGGCUGCCCAUUUGAUGUCCUGGGGAUGUGGUCCUUGCCCUUUGGAGCUUUGGCCUUGUUGCCCAAAUUCUGGUCCUUGGAGAAUCCACCACCUUUUGUUUGUGUCUCAGAACCAGCUAUGGCAUAAGGUGAGGUAAGGUAAGACUUUGAAAUAUAUUUGCUUUUAAAAAAAUAAACACAUUUUUAAAAAUUAAUUAAUUAUUAAUUUGUUUUUUUGUUUGUUUUUUUUGGUAGCGUGAUCGAACUUGGAUCCUUCCACUUUCAAGGCAGGCAGCGGGACCACUGAGCUAAAUCCCUGGGCCCUGUUUUUGGUUUUUUUGUGAGACAGGAUCUUGCUAUGUAGUUUAGUCUGGCCUUGAAGUCACUGUGUAGCCCCAGCUGGCCUUGAACUUGAUGUGAUCUUCCUGCCUCAGCCUCCUGAGUGCUGGGAGGGCUCUGAGGUCCAGGCCUGCGCUUUGGUUGUUGGAGAGGGGUCCUCAAGUGAGCUACAGAGGUGGGAAAGGCUAAGGAGCACUGAGCUGAUACCUUCUCCUUAUUAUAAUUGGAAGGGCAGGAAGAAAACAGAAGGGAGAUUUUAAUUUUUAUUUAAACUAAUUGAUUUUUUUAUAAGCUGGGAGCGUGGGGUGGAGGAAGCUCGCAAUUUUCUGUUGAAGGAUCAAUCUAUGCAUUUUCUCCUACAUUUGUGCCUAAACCAUCAAGUCCCUGACUUUGGGAAACGCCAGCUGCCCCUACUCAGAAGAUCGUCACCCUCACCUUACCAAGAGGGCCCCUAACUGUUGCCCCCGGCUGGUACUGAGGAGCAGAGGAGUGGCCAGGAGGGGGAGCUGGGGCUUCUGGCUGGAAUGUCACACUGACUCCUCUGUCCCAGGGACAGGGACGGCCCCAGCACCAGGCAGCUGCAUCCUGGUCCGUCUUGGGCACACCUGCCCGUUCGACCGGGAUCUGGAGCCAGCCCCAAGUACUGACAGGCAGGCGGCUGGGCACCCUGGAUCACAGGGACCUGAUGAGGACAAGAGGCAGAACUUGAAGCACUGAUCCACUUGUCUGAGCCCUCAGAUGGAGACCAGAGAGAUUGGGCUGGGCAUGGGCCUCAUUCCCUGACACCAUCUACUAGGGUUUAUAUCUGGAUGUCCUCCUAAAGCCUCAUGUGACCAUUGUGGGAUCUUUGGAAGGUGAUUGGAUUAUGGGAGUUUAUACCUGACUUGCUGGGAGGAGGUGGGGGUGGUGGGAAGAGCUGAGUCACUGGGGGCAUGACCUGGAAGGGUGGGUUUCCCUCCCCGGCUCCACCCUCAUUCUCUCUUUGCUUCCUGGGUGCCAUGACUGGGUGCUUCCACCUGGCCCCUCUGCCUUGGAGCUGCUGGACCAUGGACUGAAACUUUACAAACUAUGAGCCAAAAUAAAGCUCUCUGCCUUCAAGUUUUAGGUGUUGGGCAUUGUGUCACAGUGACAAGGAAAGUGACUAAGACACCAUCACAUGGGGGUUGAGACUUCAGCAUAUGAACUUGGGGGUGUCUCAUUCAGUCUACAGCAGUAGUGGUGGUGAAAGCUGUCAUUUCCCACCCCUCCAAGCACAGAGGAGUCUUCAGUCCCCAGCCAAUUCCUAAAAUCCAAGCCCCUGACCUCAGCUCCCCCAUCCAGCGGCCCCAGGUACCCUCUGCCCCAUCAGCGAGCCUGCUCCAUUCAUUGAGAAUUCACAGAUGCUGUUUGGACAGUGAGAGUGAAAACCAGCAGGUCCAUGAGAGUGAUCCAGGGCUGUCCAGGAUCUGGCUUACAUGUGACCCUGCCACCUGCUCACUCUGGGGCCUCACCCAACUUCCUUAACCCCUCGAGCCUUUUCAUUUGUAUGAAAGGAGUCAUCACAAUCUCCAUCUUGGU